RNAcentral lists this non-coding RNA (165 nucleotides) under uncultured Agathobacter sp. Lineage: Bacteria; Bacillati; Bacillota; Clostridia; Lachnospirales; Lachnospiraceae. The record is from RNAcentral.
AGCGAAGCUGCCUAGCUACUGUAGAAUUAUGCUCACGAUACACAAAAAUGAGCUCCCACGGAUGGGAGCUCAAGGAGAACCGCGCCAUAGACGUCGCGGUUCGACGGUUUUGUCGGGCAUAGAAGCCCUAAAAGCAUAAUUCAUACAGUAUCUUGGCAGCAUAGC